CCCUUAGAUGUUCUGGGCCGCACGCGCGCUACACUGAUGCAUUCAACGAGCCUAUCCUUGACCGACAGGUCCGGGUAAUCUUUGAAUCUGCAUCGUGACGGGGAUAGAUUAUUGCAAUUAUUAAUCUUCAACGAGGAAUGCCUAGUAGGCGCAAGUCAUCAGACUGCAUCGAUUACGUCCCUGCCCUUUGUACACACCGCCCGUCGCUCCUACCGAUUGAAUGCUCAGGUGAGCCAUUCGGACUUUCAUCAUGCUGGUUUCCAGUUUUGAUGAAGGAAAGUCUUGCGAACCUUAUCAUUUAGAGGAAGGAGAAGUCGUAACA
RNAcentral lists this ribosomal RNA (322 nucleotides) under uncultured eukaryote. Its description in RNAcentral is "partial 18S ribosomal RNA". It matches the Rfam family "Eukaryotic small subunit ribosomal RNA", at positions 1470 to 1796 of the family's 1831-position model. The record is from RNAcentral.